Molecule: transfer RNA, 84 nt
Filed under: Lacticaseibacillus paracasei
Lineage: Bacteria; Bacillati; Bacillota; Bacilli; Lactobacillales; Lactobacillaceae
Description: tRNA-OTHER
Rfam family: tRNA
About the family: Transfer RNA (tRNA) molecules are approximately 80 nucleotides in length. Their secondary structure includes four short double-helical elements and three loops (D, anti-codon, and T loops).
Source: RNAcentral
GAGGCCGAAGCUUAAUUGCUAUUGAAUCAUCUGCCAGCAUAUUAAAGCAAGGCAAUGCUGUGGGUUCAAAUCCCACCGGCCUCA